This is a long non-coding RNA of Manacus vitellinus (golden-collared manakin), 2798 nucleotides long. Lineage: Eukaryota; Metazoa; Chordata; Aves; Passeriformes; Pipridae. The record is from Ensembl.
NNNNNNNNNNNNNNNNNNNNNNNNNNNNNNNNNNNNNNNNNNNNNNNNNNNNNNNNNNNNNNNNNNNNNNNNNNNNNNNGCCGAAGGACCCCCACAGGGCCCCGACCCCCACGCCGACCCGGGCUGGCUGACGGAGCUGCUGGCAUCACCUGGGGCCCACACCACAGGGCACGGCUCGCCAGAGGUGAGGGGGUGCGGGGGGGCUCUGUGGGGUUAAUGUGGGGUGGGCUCUUCCAUCACUGGGUGACGGGAUGGGAGGGGACAGCACAGGAUGGGAUGAGUGUGUGUAUGGAGGCCAAGCGGGAGCGUGUGGUGAGGGGCAGGUGGCAGGGUAUGGCCUCCCUUUGGGGUGGGCCCUGCUGUGCCGUGUACCCUGGGCACCCCAGGGCAUUUCUCCCUUUCUCCCUAACUCUGCUGCUGCAGGAGCCAGGGCUAUGCCCCCCUCUAACUCUUCUCACUCCUUUCCCCCUUCCCCCCAGGGCCUGUUGGGCUGGUCGCGGAAGGACCUGUGCAGUGAGUUUGGCAUUGGCCGCCUCCGGCGGGCCGGCACUUUGACUGGAGCUGCGCCCGCUGUGUCCAGGGAGAGAGACAAUGCUGCUGAGACCAAGCAGGACCAGGAAUUUAGGGCCAAAUCCGGCUGGGACAGCAGCCACAGUGACAGUGCUGGGGCCAGGCCGGAUGGGCACUUCAGCACUGCCCGGGAGGGCUGGAGCAGUGACUACAGAGGGACGGAGCUGAUGGCAGACACCAAACUGGGCAGCAGUGACUGGUCCCAGUCCCUUGGUGCUGGGGAGAGCUGCCUGCGGGAUCCAGACUUUGGCAGCAGCACAGCCAAGUGGGGCCCGGGCUAUGGCCUGGGCCGUGCCAGCAGCACAGAGGAGCUUGACUCCGAGCAGCCCACCUGGGCGGGCAGGUAUGGCACCGGUGACAUGGAGAUGAAGGACAGGGAGCUCACCCCGGACUGGGCCAGUAAAUACAGCAGCCGGGAUGCCAGGAGCAAGGAUGAGGAUUUUACGCUGGGCUGGGCUGGCCGAUCCAGCACUGGGGACACAGGGAGCCCAGACAAGGAACUCAGCCCCAGCCGACCGUCCUGGAACAGCAGGUACAGCACCCGGGACAUGGAGAGCCAGGACCGGGAGUUCAGUCCCAGCCGGCCAGCCCGGACUGAGGAAUACAAGGACACACAAAACCAGGACAGGGAGUUCAGCCCCAGCCGGCUGGCUGAAGGCAGCGAGUGCAGCACUGGCAGUGUGGAGACCCAGGACCGGGAAUUCAGCCCCAGCGGAGCGGCCUGGGAUAACAGGUACAGCACUCAGGACAUGGAGAGCCAGGACCGUGAGUUCAGCCCCAGCCGGCCGGCCUGGACUGGUGAAAUCAGGGACAUGGAAAGCCAGGACAGGGAGUUCAGCCCCAGGAGGCCGGCCUGGGCUGGUGAAUACAGGGAGAUGGAAAGCCAGGAUCAGGAGUUCAACCCCAGCAGGCUGACCUGGGAUAACAGAUCCAGCAGCAGGGACACGGAGAGCCAAGACCGGGAGUUCAGCCCCAGCCGGCUGGCUGAAGCCAGCGAGUGCACCACCGGGGACCUGGAGACCCAGGAUGGGGAAUUCAGCCCCAGGGGAGCAACCUGGAGUGACAGAUCCAGCACCAGCAACAUGGAGACCCAGGACAGUGGAUUCACUCCCAGCAGAGCAACCUGGGAUGAUGGGCACAGCGCUGGGGACAUGGAGACCCGGCACGGGGAGUUGUUCAGCCCCAGCAGAGUGGCCUGGGGCGACAGGUCCAGCACCAGGGAUGUGGAGGCCCAGGACAGGGAGUUCAGCCCCAGUGGAGCAGCCCGGGAUAGGGAGCACGGUUCUGUGUUCCCCAUGGAGGAAGGGCAGGAGCUGAUCCCAGGCCGGCUGAGCUGGUCCGGUGAGAGCAGCGUCGGCCAGGCCAGGCAUGUUGGGAUCAAUGAGGAAGAUGUGCCUGGCUCCCUCUGCUCUGAUCUCCUGGCCCAGGAGUCCACCUGGGGCAGUGCCCACCAGCAGGAGCGUGGCAGCUCCAGCAGCGGGGACUGGGCUGAGGAGCUUGGAGGAGGUGACUGCCACAACCAGUUUGGUGCCAUUGGGACAGAGCGGGUGCCAGACCCCUGCAGCAGCGGAGCCUCAGAUGGCACCAUGUCCAGGGGCCUGCAGUCCCUGGCAGGCUGGCACAGGGAUGUCUCUCUGGACACGGACGAUGCCCGCUGGAGCCAGGACCUGGAGCACUGGAGCAUGGAUCUGCAGGACACCGAGGCCAAGCGCCAGGAGUGGGCGAGUGCCUUUGGUGCCCGCUGUGCCGCCCGCAGCCGGGACCUCGGCACUGGGGAACGAAGCCUGGGAGGGGACACGGGCACAGAGGACAGGUAAGGAGGGCACUGGUGGUGGCAGGGAGGGAGCAGCUUCCCCUGAGGUGGACAGAAGGGUUUUGGGACAUGAGCAGGCCUUGUGUUAUCUGGGGCUGGAGCAACUCUGUGGUCUUGUCUCCCAAGCAGGAGCCUCCAUCUUUCAGCCCCCAGCCCACCGAUGGGUAAUGCCCCAGCCGACCCCCCAGCUCUGGAGACCCCCCGGGGUGAGCUGCUCAGCCCCACUGAGGAGGAGAGGGACCUCCCCGAGCACGCCGCUGCCCUGCAGAGCCCCAGGGCCUCCUCUCUGCUGCUGGAGGCUGCCAGCGGGAUCCCAGUGGACCCAGGGAUUGAGGAACCCACAUCGGACCACCCAGAUGGGGAGAGCCCCCCGGGCUGGGGGGAGCAGCGGCUCUCCCUGGGUGCCCCUCAGCCU